AUCUAUAAAGAACAGCAGGGCUGAAGAGGGACCUUCAGAGAAAUCCUUUAAAUGAUAGGGCAGGAAGAUAAAUCUCAUCCCUGUUAGUCCACCUUGGCCAGGAGUAGCAGUCUCAGCCACAUUGAUUCGGUUCCUGAUACUACCUCUCCGCUGAUAGAAUGAGAAGAAACAGAAUUAGAACCAAAUAAUUUUACUAAUAAUUUAAUACCUGUAUUUUGGGUUAAUUGGAACAUAGUACAUUAAAAGCAUGA
This 251-nucleotide long non-coding RNA is filed under the name Mustela putorius furo (domestic ferret). RNAcentral's name for it is "lncRNA (ENSMPUG00000024689.1)". The record is from RNAcentral. Lineage: Eukaryota; Metazoa; Chordata; Mammalia; Carnivora; Mustelidae.